This 775-nucleotide long non-coding RNA is filed under the name Cricetulus griseus (Chinese hamster). RNAcentral describes it as "lncRNA (ENSCGRG00015034287.1)". The record is from RNAcentral. Lineage: Eukaryota; Metazoa; Chordata; Mammalia; Rodentia; Cricetidae.
AUAAAAUUAUGAUUCUUUUAUCACUCAUGAUUCAGGAAGGUGAUUGGCUAAGCUAAUGGUUCUCAUUUGUGUCUUAUCUGGUGGUUGGUGCUUCGGUCAUCUCAAAAGUUCCCUUACAUGUCUGGAAGCUGAUUGCACUGGACCACAGCUGGGGCUGUUGGUCAGAAUAUUUACAAGUAGCCUCUCCAUGGGACCUUUGCUUCCUCAUAUCAAAAUGACUAAAAUCUGAAACUGGGUGCCUCCAGGUGACCAGGCAGAAAUUGAUGGCUUUUGUGACCAGGACAUUUAUCUGCUUCCUAGAAAUGUGAUUUGUCUGUGCCCUGGGAGACACUUUUGACCCAUGAUAGCUAACAAAACUGUAUGAAUGAUGGUGCUGUGACUUCCAUGAAGAAAAAAAUAUGGAAGAAGAUGCUGAAUGUAAAAAUGGAGGCAUCUUUGGAGGAAUGGAUGAACAAACAGUAGGAUUUGGAGAUUAAUCAUUAUAGAUGAGAUGAAACCCUUCAGAAUCAAGGUUCAGAGGAUGUUAUUUAAUAUCUGGAAUGUCGAGAAGCCUAUAGGACCCCAAGGAUGACCAGGUAUCCCAGCUGCUUCAGUGAGUGGAACUGAUUGUCUUUGGCACUGAGGAAGAUUUCUACACCCCUGCAAAUAUGGUGGUUCUUUUGGAAAGCCUGGCCCUACACCAAUGACUAAUGCCUUGACUCUGAGUCAAGAAAUAUGCAGACCAGUCUGCAUAUUUUCAAGAACCUGUUCUGACUAGUCUCUAUGGUCAACCUAA